CAAGAAGAUCGGCUUUGCAAC
This 21-nucleotide non-coding RNA is filed under the name Arabidopsis thaliana (thale cress). Lineage: Eukaryota; Viridiplantae; Streptophyta; Magnoliopsida; Brassicales; Brassicaceae. The record is from RNAcentral.